RNAcentral lists this ribosomal RNA (455 nucleotides) under uncultured Cellulomonas sp. RNAcentral's name for it is "bacterial SSU rRNA". It matches the Rfam family "Bacterial small subunit ribosomal RNA", at positions 925 to 1382 of the family's 1533-position model. The record is from RNAcentral. Lineage: Bacteria; Bacillati; Actinomycetota; Actinomycetes; Micrococcales; Cellulomonadaceae.
ACAAGCGGCGGAGCAUGCGGAUAAUUCGAUGCAACGCGAAGAACCUUACCAAGGCUUGACAUACACCGGUAACGCCCAGAGAUGGGUGCCCCUUUGUGGUCGGUGUACAGGUGGUGCAUGGUUGUCGUCAGCUCGUGUCGUGAGAUGUUGGGUUAAGUCCGCAACGAGCGCAACCCUCGUCCUAUGUUGCCAGCGGGUCAUGCCGGGGACUCAUGGGAGACUGCCGGGGUCAACUCGGAGGAAGGUGGGGAUGACGUCAAAUCAUCAUGCCCCUUAUGUCUUGGGCUUCACGCAUGCUACAAUGGCCGGUACAAAGGGCUGCGAUACCGCGAGGUGGAGCGAAUCCCAGAAAGCCGGUCUCAGUUCGGAUUGGGGUCUGCAACUCGACCCCAUGAAGUCGGAGUCGCUAGUAAUCGCAGAUCAGCAACGCUGCGGUGAAUACGUUCCCGGGCCUU